RNAcentral lists this transfer RNA (72 nucleotides) under Loxodonta africana (African savanna elephant). It matches the Rfam family "tRNA". From Rfam's summary of the family: Transfer RNA (tRNA) molecules are approximately 80 nucleotides in length. Their secondary structure includes four short double-helical elements and three loops (D, anti-codon, and T loops). Lineage: Eukaryota; Metazoa; Chordata; Mammalia; Proboscidea; Elephantidae. The record is from Rfam by way of RNAcentral.
GCCCUGGUGGCAAAAUUGUUAAGCACUUGGCUACUAACCAAAAGAUUGGUGGUUCGAACCCACCUAGUGACU